RNAcentral lists this ribosomal RNA (253 nucleotides) under uncultured bacterium. RNAcentral's name for it is "partial 16S ribosomal RNA". It matches the Rfam family "Bacterial small subunit ribosomal RNA", at positions 524 to 776 of the family's 1533-position model. The record is from RNAcentral.
UACGAAGGGUGCAAGCGUUGUUCGGAAUUACUGGGCGUAAAGCGCGUGUAGGCGGUGAUGUAAGUCGGGUGUGAAAGCCCUUGGCUUAACCAAGGAAGUGCACCCGAUACUGCGUUGCUUGAGUGUCGGAGGGGAUGGCGGAAUUCCCGGUGUAGAGGUGGAAUUCGUAGAUAUCGGGAGGAACACCUGUGGCGAAGGCGGCCACCUGGGACAAUACUGACACUGAGGUGCGAAAGCGUGGGGAGCAAACAGG